Molecule: ribosomal RNA, 252 nt
Filed under: uncultured bacterium
Lineage: Bacteria
Description: partial 16S ribosomal RNA
Rfam family: Bacterial small subunit ribosomal RNA
Source: RNAcentral
UACGGAGGGUGCGAGCGUUGUCCGGAUUCACUGGGCGUAAAGGGCGCGUAGGCGGCUUGAUCAGUCGGGUGUGAAAGGCUGGGGCUUAUCCCUGGUGAGCAUUCGGGACGGUUGAGCUGGAGCGUGGUAGAGGGAUAUGGAAUGCCGGGUGUAGUGGUGAAAUGCGUAGAUAUCCGGCGGAACACCGGUGGCGAAGGCGGUAUCCUGGGCCAUAGCUGACGCUGAGGCGCGAGAGCGUGGGGAGCGAACCGG